UUUUUUCACAGGUACUGCUAUCGCUUCGUAUACAGGGAAAAUUUUUUUAUAUACGCCAAAUUUGUCGGCAUGCCUGGGGAACGUGAUAUCCGGGGCAUGACAAUUCAAAUUUUAAUUUUUAAUUUAAAUUCAAAUUUUAAAUUAUUUUAAAAUAAAAUUCAAUAAAAAUAUUAAUAUAUGCAAGCAUCAUAAUUUUUUUGCUAAACAGCUUUAAAAAAUCAAUUUAGAAAAAUCACUUUUAUCUAGACUCAACCAAACACUCUACAGCGCGCUUUUCACCAAAAUCAAUUCUCCAAACCAAAACCACUUCUGCAGAAAUCACUUUUCCAGAAGUUAGGCCAAACAGGCCCUAUGGCACUGUUGUCUUUAUUUUCUGAUUUUAAGGAUUAGAUUGCUUUACUGAAUAUGAUUGAAAUUUGUUU
This 422-nucleotide long non-coding RNA is filed under the name Ananas comosus (pineapple). RNAcentral describes it as "long non-coding RNA (ACOM_LNC013396)". The record is from RNAcentral. Lineage: Eukaryota; Viridiplantae; Streptophyta; Magnoliopsida; Poales; Bromeliaceae.